Long non-coding RNA from Mercenaria mercenaria, 541 nucleotides. RefSeq lists it as uncharacterized. The record is from RefSeq and is a predicted model, not a curated record. NCBI's taxonomy places the organism in Eukaryota, Metazoa, Mollusca, Bivalvia, Venerida, Veneridae. The transcript has 5 exons.
UUUUUUAUUGUCUAGGUUAUGUUGUCGGUAUGUCGGUUCAUAAAGACGCCUGAUGUCGGGACGGUGAAGGCACGUCUACAAGAUAAUGUGGUGUAAACAGAUGGUAAACGUAAUUUCCGGACACAGAUGCGACUUGCAAGGGUCAAAAUCUUUAAAUUAUGAUCUCUGUGUGCAUGCGAAUAUCUUCAGCCGACUUGUGAAAUGUCCAAACAGCUCCAACUGCUACCUAAGAUAACACGGACGAUAAAGGAAUGAAGGGUAUGUCUGCUUCACUACGAUUGACAAAACUUGCACAUCUACUUUCAAGCUGGUGAAAGCACGACUUCAAGAUGUAAGCUAAAAAAGAAGAUGGUAAUUUCCGGCCACAAGUGUCAAAAUCUUAAAAUUAGGGUCGAAGAGAAAUAUACGUCUCCUUGCGGUAAACCAGAAUACAGCACGGCAUUUCGCUUCAUAUACGUGUUAUUCAAAAGACAACAACAGUUUAAAGCCAAAGGAACUCAAUCUAACAAAUUGUGUCAGUCGUUAGACAUUCAAAAUCAUG